Molecule: long non-coding RNA, 827 nt
Filed under: Nicotiana benthamiana
Lineage: Eukaryota; Viridiplantae; Streptophyta; Magnoliopsida; Solanales; Solanaceae
Description: long non-coding RNA (NBEN_LNC010822)
Source: RNAcentral
AUGUAUUUCUUUUGGCGAGGUUCGUCUCAUUUAUUAUUUAAAAGGCAAACCUAAAAGUAAAUGUGAUUUUUCUAUUUUAUUUGUCUCUAACAAUAAAAAAGGUCCUAACUAAUUAAUCUGUUUAAGAAUUAUUAUAUUUGGGUCUAUGAAAUUCACAUUCUCAAACAGCUUGGGCCCGAACAUAGCCCGCAUUGAAGAAUUACCCUCCAGAUGGGCACGAAGCAUAAACCAGUCAAGCCUGGCCCAGGCCAAACGAACAGAUAACCAUACCAGGACCUGUGCCAUCGAUUCGAAUAACAAGGCCCAAGUUGCAUGGGAAGACUGGACCAAACGAACUAGGCUAAACGCCUACUGAGAUCAACACAAAUGGGCCUGACCGUUUUUAUCAACUGUAAUAGGAAUAACAAUAUGCAAUUACUCAAGUUAACAAGACGUAAACUAUUUGAACUUUUAAUUUCAUGUUACUUGCUGGCCUUCUGCUGAAUUCUCAGCUAUGAAGAAGGUGAAAAAUAGGUUGGCCAGAUGAUUUUAUUAAUACACAUCAUACAAACUUUUUUUUAAUUGGUUUUAGUUAAUACUAUUAAAUCAAAUUAUUGAAAUUAUUAUUGAAAUGGAAAAACACAAUCAUUGUAUGGCUUCCAACUAUACUACGCUAGAUUACCACCAGGGAGGGGACAAAUUUAAACUUCAAUGUCAACAGUCCAGAUCGGUAGCACAGUCCUACUUAAUUACAACAACAACAACAACAUCUACUCAGUAUAGUCCCACCAGGUGGGGUCUGGGGAGUGUAAUAUGUAGACGAGCCUUACCCCUACCCGAAAGGGCNN